CACGUAGGCACCAAGCGUUGUCCGGAUUCAUUGGGCGUAAAGGGUGCGUAGGCGGCGCGGUAAGUCGGGUGUGAAAUCUCGGGGCUUAACUCCGAAACUGCAUUCGAUACUGCCGUGCUUGAGGACUGGAGAGGAGACUGGAAUUUACGGUGUAGCGGUGAAAUGCGUAGAUAUCGUAAGGAAGACCAGUGGCGAAGGCGGGUCUCUGGACAGUUCCUGACGCUGAGGCACGAAGGUCAGGGGAGCAAACGGG
This 253-nucleotide ribosomal RNA is filed under the name uncultured bacterium. Its description in RNAcentral is "partial 16S ribosomal RNA". It matches the Rfam family "Bacterial small subunit ribosomal RNA", at positions 524 to 776 of the family's 1533-position model. The record is from RNAcentral.